RNAcentral lists this ribosomal RNA (355 nucleotides) under uncultured prokaryote. RNAcentral describes it as "bacterial SSU rRNA". It matches the Rfam family "Bacterial small subunit ribosomal RNA", at positions 26 to 356 of the family's 1533-position model. The record is from RNAcentral.
AGGAUGAACGCUAGCGACAGGCCUAACACAUGCAAGUCGAGGGGCAUCGGGACGUAGCAAUACGUUGCCGGCGACCGGCGGAUGGGUGAGUAACGCGUAUGCAACCUACCCGUAGCAGGGGGAUAGCCCGUUGAAAGACGGAUUAAUACCCCGUAACACAGGGGCUCGGCAUGGAGAUUAUUGUUAAAGGGUCAUUUCNUUUUCAGGGAUGGUCCGGCUACGGAUGGGCAUGCGUUCCAUUAGGUAGUUGGUGUAGGUAACGGCUCACCAAGCCGACGAUGGAUAGGGGAACUGAGAGGUUGGUCCCCACACUGGUACUGAGACACGGACCAGACUCCUACGGGAGGCAGCAGUG